AGCAACCUACCCUCAGCACGGGGAUAACAGCUCGAAAGGGCUGCUAAUACCCGAUGGGACCACGGCAUCGCAUGGUGCUGUGGUGAAAGGGUAGCUGGAGAGGCUAUACCGGCUGGGGAUGGGCUCGCGGCCCAUCAGCUAGUUGGUGGGGUAAUGGCCUACCAAGGCGACGACGGGUAGCCGGCCUGAGAGGGUGUACGGCCACAUUUGGACUGAGACACGGUCCAG
RNAcentral lists this ribosomal RNA (228 nucleotides) under uncultured Thermoanaerobacterales bacterium. Its description in RNAcentral is "partial 16S ribosomal RNA". It matches the Rfam family "Bacterial small subunit ribosomal RNA", at positions 120 to 334 of the family's 1533-position model. The record is from RNAcentral. Lineage: Bacteria; Bacillati; Bacillota; Clostridia; Thermoanaerobacterales.